GAAUGCUGACAUAAGUAACGAUAAAGCGGGUGAAAAGCCCGCUCGCCGGAAGACCAAGGGUUCCUGUCCAACGUUAAUCGGGGCAGGGUGAGUCGACCCCUAAGGCGAGGCCGAAAGGCGUAGUCGAUGGGAAACGGGUUAAUAUUCCCGUACUUGGUGUUACUGCGAAGGGGGGACGGAGAAGGCUAUGUUGGCCGGGCGACGGUUGUCCCGGUUUAAGCGUGUAGGUGUGUGUUCCAGGUAAAUCCGGUUCACUUUAACACUGAGGCGUGACGACGAGGCACUACGGUGCUGAAGCAACAAAUGCCCUGCUUCCAGGAAAAGCCUCUAAGCAUCAGGUAACAUCAAAUCGUACCCCAAACCGACACAGGUGGUCAGGUAGAGAAUACCAAGGCGCUUGAGAGAACUCGGGUGAAGGAACUAGGCAAAAUGGUGCCGUAACUUCGGGAGAAGGCACGCUGACACGUAGGUGAAGUGAUUUACUCAUGGAGCUGAAGUCAGUCGAAGAUACCAGCUGGCUGCAACUGUUUAUUAAAAACACAGCACUGUGCAAACACGAAAGUGGACGUAUACGGUGUGACGCCUGCCCGGUGCCGGAAGGUUAAUUGAUGGGGUCAGCGCAAGCGAAGCUCCUGAUCGAAGCCCCGGUAAACGGCGGCCGUAACUAUAACGGUCCUAAGGUAGCGAAAUUCCUUGUCGGGUAAGUUCCGACCUGCACGAAUGGCGUAAUGAUGGCCAGGCUGUCUCCACCCGAGACUCAGUGAAAUUGAACUCGCUGUGAAGAUGCAGUGUACCCGCGGCAAGACGGAAAGACCCCGUGAACCUUUACUAUAGCUUGACACUGAACAUUGAGCCUUGAUGUGUAGGAUAGGUGGGAGGCUUUGAAGUGUGGACGCCAGUCUGCAUGGAGCCGACCUUGAAAUACCACCCUUUAAUGUUUGAUGUUCUAACGUGGACCCGUUACCCGGGUUGCGGACAGUGUCUGGUGGGUAGUUUGACUGGGGCGGUCUCCUCCUAAAGAGUAACGGAGGAGCACGAAGGUUGGCUAAUCCUGGUCGGACAUCAGGAGGUUAGUGCAAUGGCAUAAGCCAGCUUGACUGCGAGCGUGACGGCGCGAGCAGGUGCGAAAGCAGGUCAUAGUGAUCCGGUGGUUCUGAAUGGAAGGGCCAUCGCUCAACGGAUAAAAGGUACUCCGGGGAUAACAGGCUGAUACCGCCCAAGAGUUCAUAUCGACGGCGGUGUUUGGCACCUCGAUGUCGGCUCAUCACAUCCUGGGGCUGAAGUAGGUCCCAAGGGUAUGGCUGUUCGCCAUUUAAAGUGGUACGCGAGCUGGGUUUAGAACGUCGUGAGACAGUUCGGUCCCUAUCUGCCGUGGGCGCUGGAGAACUGAGGGGGGCUGCUCCUAGUACGAGAGGACCGGAGUGGACGCAUCACUGGUGUUCGGGUUGUCAUGCCAAUGGCACUGCCCGGUAGCUAAAUGCGGAAGAGAUAAGUGCUGAAAGCAUCUAAGCACGAAACUUGCCCCGAGAUGAGUUCUCCCUGAGACUUAGAGUCUCCUGAAGGAACGU
Molecule: ribosomal RNA, 1568 nt
Filed under: Salmonella enterica
Lineage: Bacteria; Pseudomonadati; Pseudomonadota; Gammaproteobacteria; Enterobacterales; Enterobacteriaceae
Also listed under: 1 other name
Description: partial 23S ribosomal RNA
Rfam family: Bacterial large subunit ribosomal RNA
Source: RNAcentral